GUCGAGAAUUUUUCACAAUGGGCGAAAGCCUGAUGGAGCGACGCCGCGUGGGGGAUGAAUGGCUUCGGCCCGUAAACCCCUGUCAUUCGGGAUCAAUGCGUUCGGGUAAACAGCCCGGACGUUGAUAGUACCGGAAGAGGAAGGGACGGCUAACUCUGUGCCAGCAGCCGCGGUAAUACAGAGGUCCCAAGCGUUGUUCGGAUUCACUGGGCGUAAAGGGUGCGUAGGCGGUCGGGUAAGUCUGAUGUGAAAGCUCGGAGCUCAACUCCGAAACGGCAUUGGAUACUAUCUGGCUGGAGGUUGGGAGGGGGGACUGGAAUUCUCGGUGUAGCAGUGAAAUGCGUAGAUAUCGAGAGGAACACCAGUGGCGAAGGCGAGUCCCUGGACCAAUCCUGACGCUGAGGCACGAAAGCCAGGGGAGCAAACGGGAUUAGAUACCCGAGUAGUCC
Molecule: ribosomal RNA, 449 nt
Filed under: uncultured bacterium
Lineage: Bacteria
Description: bacterial SSU rRNA
Rfam family: Bacterial small subunit ribosomal RNA
Source: RNAcentral